CCGCACAAGCGGUGGAGCAUGUGGUUUAAUUCGAUGCAGCGCGAAAACCUUACCACCUUUGACAUGUACGGAAUCCUUUAGAGAUAGAGGAGUGCUCGAAAGAGAGCCGUAACACAGGUGCUGCAUGGCUGUCGUCAGCUCGUGUCGUGAGAUGUUGGGUUAAGUCCCGCAACGAGCGCAACCCUUGUCAUUAGUUGCUACAUUCAGUUGGGGCACUCUAAUGAGACUGCCGGUGACAAACCGGAGGAAGGUGGGGAUGACGUCAAGUCCUCAUGGCCCUUAUAGGUGGGGCUACACACGUCAUACAAUGGAUGGUACAAAGGGUCGCCAACCCGCGAGGGGGAGCCAAUCCCAUAAAGCCAUUCGUAGUCCGGAUCGCAGUCUGCAACUCGACUGCGUGAAGUCGGAAUCGCUAGUAAUCGUGGAUCAGAAUGUCACGGUGAAUACGUUCCCGGGUCUU
RNAcentral lists this ribosomal RNA (460 nucleotides) under uncultured Acidovorax sp. Its description in RNAcentral is "bacterial SSU rRNA". It matches the Rfam family "Bacterial small subunit ribosomal RNA", at positions 921 to 1382 of the family's 1533-position model. Lineage: Bacteria; Pseudomonadati; Pseudomonadota; Betaproteobacteria; Burkholderiales; Comamonadaceae. The record is from RNAcentral.